AUAUGUAGAGAUACAUUACUAGAGAUGUUACAGUUUCACUGUGCUGAAAAAGGAGCAAAAACUGGAGUGAUUAACAAAGCGCCACUAAUGCUCCAGGAACAGUUGGCGGAAUUACAGCCAGUGAUGCAAUAACACACCAGCUGGGUCCUUUUCCCGGUCGAGUCUUUGACGACACGCCGCUCGCGCCGCCCUCGCGGGCGUGUUCGUACCGGGAACCCGAAGGGGUCACCUUCUGCCGCAGAGCUCUUAAGCAACGUUUAGCCUUCGGAUGUGAGGUUUCGACCGCACGAACGCACGCAAACACACGCGCUGCUCUACCGCAGACCACUGCAGCGGAAUAUCCAUCGUGAUCCAGAAGGCACCUGCGUCGGGGCAGGAAGUGAGCAGGAAGGCCUUCCUAAAGUGCACGUCGCUUCGAGCGCAAGCGUUACGCCAAUUUAGAGCCAUCAAUCCACCUGAAAGAAAAGUCUCUGGACUGUGGGUAGGAACCAGAGCACCUGGAGGAAACCCUCACAAACGCAGGAAGAAAUGAGUUUAACAAACUCCCGCACAGACUUUGAGCACGGACCAAACCUACAACCCAGGAGCUGUGGGGCGCCAACACUACCUGCUGUGUGCCCUAAAUUUUGAUAAAUAUUCAAAAAAAUCUGGAAAUAUACUGACCUUGGAAUGUUUUAGCACAGAUUUCUGCAGCCAGUAUGGUCAAACUGCCUAAAAUUUGUAAAAAAAAAAAAAAAGUCCAG
This is a long non-coding RNA of Scleropages formosus (Asian bonytongue), 743 nucleotides long. RefSeq lists it as uncharacterized. Lineage: Eukaryota; Metazoa; Chordata; Actinopteri; Osteoglossiformes; Osteoglossidae. The transcript is spliced from 2 exons. The record is from RefSeq and is a predicted model, not a curated record.